UCGAUUAGUAGCAGUAAAAGAAUGAAACCAUUCUUAUUGGUUACAUGAUCACUCAGUUAAACUUUGAUCAUAUUGAGAACAAAGAAUCAUGGAGGCUAAACUUUGAUCAUAUUGAGAACAAAGAAACAUGGAGGCUAAAAUUUAUUAGAUAUGUGCAUUUGAGUGGGAUCAGAGAAAAGUAUAUGUGAGGAAAUGAUUCUAAGAAGUACCUACCUACACAGCAUAUCAUUUCUGUUAGUCAUGUUUAAUAUAAAAUUAAAUGUUUGUCGUUUGUAAUCCAUAGUGGAGUUCCUAGCAUAUCAUUUCUGUAAGACAUGUUUAAUAUAAAAUUAAAUGUUUGUCGUUUGUAAUCCAUAGUGAAGUUCCUAUCACAUGUUCAGUGCAUUCUCCUCCGAUACAAAAUCCCAAUUCCAUUCACCAACUAUGUUGCCAUGGAAGUUCUAUUUUAAAUUUAUUAUGCAAUUGUUGAUUAAGUAUGAUGGGUGAGUUGGAAUUUUUCUUGAAUAAGUACAGUUGUUUUAUCAU
Molecule: long non-coding RNA, 525 nt
Filed under: Physcomitrium patens
Lineage: Eukaryota; Viridiplantae; Streptophyta; Bryopsida; Funariales; Funariaceae
Description: long non-coding RNA (PPAT_LNC006925)
Source: RNAcentral